Molecule: long non-coding RNA, 1018 nt
Organism: Micropterus dolomieu (smallmouth bass)
Lineage: Eukaryota; Metazoa; Chordata; Actinopteri; Centrarchiformes; Centrarchidae
Exons: 2
Source: RefSeq, a predicted model, not a curated record
CACGAUAUAAUAGCAUGUGAGGUUAUAUAAAAUACUUUAUGUCCAUUUGUAUGGUCAUAGAUCCUGUAUUCAACUUUUAAAAGUUGAACCUACCCUUUGCCAACUUUAACCUACUUGUGCUAAAUCCAGAGUUGGACCUUCCUGCCUUAGCUCAAGAAAAUUAAAUAAAGAAUAAUAAUAAAGAUUUGCUAUAAGAAGAGAAUUACAGUGUUUAUAAUGAUAUGCAAAUGAAGAACUAAACUAGGUGGAAGUACUGGCCUAACUGAAUGUUUAAACUCAACUGCUUUUCUUUUCUUUUAGAGCUUCCUGGGAUCGUUGCCUCACUCAAAGAUGGCUUAGAGGCCACGAAGGACCAGCUGGACCCUCACAAGCUCAAUUUGCUCAUAGGCAUCUCUGGCUCCUGCACGCGAUCACUGUUUUUGCUCUCACUACAUGUCAACAGGAUGCUGUGUGAUAAAGCAGUUUCCAAAUCCCAUAGUGUCUACAGUCGCAGAAAAUGCAACGAGUCCUACUCAAAGAUAACCGACUCUCCACUCCAAGGAUAAGGAUUGUGACAUUUUUCAGUUUCAGUUUGGUUCCACCAUUUGUACUGCAUGCUUGUGACGGAGUACCUUCACUACAGUUGAGUAAGCACUUGGACUGCCAUACCAAUGAGCCUGACUCUUUGGCACUGCUCUCAAAGUUGCACGUUUGGUACCCUGUAGACCUGUGUUUGAAUCUGGGCAGGGUGACUGCUCCCGCCUUUGGCUGCAUAUGGUGUCAGAAGUGGGAUGGCUUGCCGUGAGGUCAUCUGAGCCGGGUCCAGUGUCCAAACCAUAUGAGGGACCCCCAUGGGUAACAUUAAUGAUUGGAUGUGUAUAGUGUUCUUUUCAGUAAUACUGGUCAUAUGUCAUCAUUUUACUGAUUUUUAUUUUUAUUUGAAGGUUUUUUGGUCAAGAAGUGAUGAUGCUGUACCUUUUAAUGUACAGGAAUUUAUUUUUGUAAUGUCCACAAAAUUAAAGUUUUUUAGUUGUCUGUA